RNAcentral lists this ribosomal RNA (522 nucleotides) under uncultured bacterium. Its description in RNAcentral is "partial 16S ribosomal RNA". It matches the Rfam family "Bacterial small subunit ribosomal RNA", at positions 355 to 867 of the family's 1533-position model. The record is from RNAcentral.
UAGGGAAUCUUCCACAAUGGACGCAAGUCUGAUGGAGCAACGCCGCGUGAGUGAAGAAGGUUUUCGGACCGUAAAGCUCUGUUGUUGGUGAAGAAGGAUAGAGGUAGUAACUGGCCUUUAUUUGACGGUAAUCAACCAGAAAGUCACGGCUAACUACGUGCCAGCAGCCGCGGUAAUACGUAGGUGGCAAGCGUUGUCCGGAUUUAUUGGGCGUAAAGCGAGCGCAGGCAGAAGAAUAAGUCUGAUGUGAAAGCCCUCGGCUUAACCGAGGAAUUGCAUCGGAAACUGUUUUCUUGAGUGCAGAAGAGGAGAGUAGAACUCCAUGUGUAGCGGUGGAAUGCGUAGAUAUAUGGAAGAAUACCAGUGGCGAAGGCGGCUCUCUGGUCUGCAACUGACGCUGAGGCUCGAAAGCAUGGGUAGCGAACAGGAUUAGAUACCCUGGUAGUCCAUGCUGUAAAACGAUGAGUGCUAAGUGUUGGGGAGGCUUCCGCCUCUCAGUGCUGCAGCUAACGCAUUAAGCAC